GGCAGGGUUAGCCAUCGUGUUGCGCUCGGGGAUGGAACGAAGAGGAGCGGAUGGGGAUCCACCGAUCCAGUGGAGCAGACCAAUGCGCAGCUUCCUUAUCAGCGACAGCAAGAGUCGCUUUGAUGGGAAGUUGAGGGCGCAAGUAGAAGGCAGCAGUAGCAGCAGCUUAGCCUCCAUCAGUGGCAGCAGCAGUAGAACACCCUCCUAAUACUGUAGCAAGUCACGGUGUUGGCGGACCAUGUCCCAGUGGUCGUUGAGCGCAAAGGGCACGUUCUCUGGUUAGCAUCUUCGUUUGCGCCGGGUGGUUUGCACAGAAGGGUGGAAUUGCCUAGCAAUUGAUGCAACACCUGAGUAGCAGAUGCUGCCAUAAUAGACUUUCAUUUAUGAUAGUUGUCAAGCCUUCUUUUCAUAUAGGACCUUCAGGAACACAAGGACUGCAUCACCUCAGCCUCACACUGAGAGAUGGCCUGGCCACUAUGCCAAGCACCGCCCGGUGCUGCUCACGUACGUAAGGCACAUGUCGCACCGCCGGCCAGUUGAUGGCCUCAGCCACACAUCUGCUUCCUUUGCAUGCAAGGAAAGGUGGGAGCGAAAGAAGAGAGGGAAGAAGAAGGCCAAGGAGAAAAUAGUCCAAGAGGACCAGAUCAAGAAGUGUUGGUAAUCGAAGGACCCUUCCGAUGUCGCCGUGCCGUCUAUACCGCCGUGAUCACGGUGAGCUAUUGAGUCCUACUGUGGUGGUUCUGGAGAUAGAGCUGGCUUGAGGUUGCAACUGGUUUCACGGUGUAGAUGGACACGGACGUCUGUGGGUCCGUUUGUCCGUGUCCGUGAGAAUGGCAUAAACGACGUCGUGGACCGGCCAUAUAACUUAUACAGACUUACGGACAUGGCCCGCUCAGCCUGCUAUGCCUGUUUAUCCUGUGAAGGAGAAAAAAGUCAAAGAAACAGAGAAGCUCCCCUGGAUAGGGCACGCCGCCCCAACAUUCCCCGCCGCUGGACCGGCGUCCCGUCCGCCUGUCGCCUCCACCCGGCCUGCACCCAGGUCGUCGCUGCCCUCCAUCCCGCUGACCCGCUCGUCCCAGUGCCACCCAGCUCGCUGCCCAAUGCCUCCCUCUAUGCAUGUGUCGUCCCGCCUGUCUUGCUGUCGCCGCGUGCAGAUUAAUGGUGGAGGAGGAGGAGAAGAAUCUGGCAGAUGAGAAGGAGGACAAGAACUUGGCAGGGGAGAAGUACAAAAUCCAGCGGGACAGUUUCUAAGCGAAGGAGGCGACAUUCACAAAUAGUAGUCAUGUCCUUACUCGUAGGAGCUUAAGUUCUCCAUCGAAGAGUUGAGGGAAUGACACUGUUUGCAAGACAAAACUAGAGAUGGCCGCUACUUCUAGUUCGUGCUUGAUUUUUGAAGGGCAGGAACCUUCGUGAAGAACUAAUGCAUGCUUUGCUGGCUCCUUUAUUCGAGCCCCAUGAACGGUGGGAGUCGUGCACGAAGUACAUGGAUCCCCGCCGCCGCUGCAGUUCACAGGCACCUGCCCUGCGCCGCCCAUGCAGCUGCCACAGCGGGCACCACCACCAGCGCCUCCGUCUGCCUUUUCCUUGUUUUUCACGGUGCAGGAGUAGUAAUUCAGCAUGUUCUCUUAGAAGAAAGAAUUGGCCUGAACCUGAUAAUUGCAAUCCCCGAUAAUUUUGUCUUAACCUGGGCAGAGUUUGCCUUUUGACUUGCGCACUACCUUGUUGAUUUAGUACAUGCCUAGUGAGGGUGUGGAUGGCUACAGGUACCCAGUUUUU
This is a long non-coding RNA of Lolium rigidum, 1776 nucleotides long. RefSeq lists it as uncharacterized. The transcript has 8 exons. The record is from RefSeq and is a predicted model, not a curated record. Lineage: Eukaryota; Viridiplantae; Streptophyta; Magnoliopsida; Poales; Poaceae.